RNAcentral lists this ribosomal RNA (841 nucleotides) under uncultured bacterium. RNAcentral describes it as "bacterial SSU rRNA". It matches the Rfam family "Bacterial small subunit ribosomal RNA", at positions 48 to 887 of the family's 1533-position model. The record is from RNAcentral.
CUUACACAUGCAAGUCGAACGCGAAAGGGGGCAACCCCGAGUAGAGUGGCGAACGGGUGAGCAAUACAUCGGAACGUGUCCUGUAGCGGGGGACAACCUCGAGAAAUCGAGGCUAAUACCGCAUACGAUCUACGGAUGAAAGUGGGGGACCGCAAGGCCCCACACUAUAGGAGCGGCCGAUGCCGGAUUAGCUAGUUGGUGGGGUAACGGCCUACCAAGGCGACGAUCCGUAGCUGGUUUGAGAGAACGACCAGCCACACUGGGACUGAGACACGGCCCAGACUCCUACGGGAGGCAGCAGUGGGGAAUUUUGGACAAUGGGCGCAAGCCUGAUCCAGCCAUGCCGCGUGAGUGAAGAAGGCCUUCGGGUUGUAAAGCUCUUUCGGCGGGGACGAAAUGGCGCGGGGUAACAUCUCGCGUCGAUGACGGUACCCGAAGAAGAAGGACCGGCUAACUACGUGCCAGCAGCCGCGGUAAUACGUAGGGUCCAAGCGUUAAUCGGAAUUACUGGGCGUAAAGCGUGCGUAGGCGGUUUCGAAAGUCCGAUGUGAAAUCCCCGGGCUUAACCUGGGAACUGCGUUGGAAACUACGAGGCUAGAGUGCGGCAGAGGGGGGUGGAAUUCCAGGUGUAGCAGUGAAAUGCGUAGAGAUCUGGAGGAACACCGAUGGCGAAGGCAGCCCCCUGGGCUAGCACUGACGCUGAUACACGAAAGCGUGGGGAGCAAACAGGAUUAGAUACCCUGGUAGUCCACGCCCUAAACGAUGGCAACUAGUUGUUGGAGGAUGAACUCCUUUAGUAACGCAGCUAACGCGUGAAGUUGCCCGCCUGGGGAGUACGGUC